CGGGGCGUGGCGCAGUUUGGCAAGCGCGCUUGCUUUGGGAGCAAGAGGUCGUGAGUUCAAAUCUCACCGCCCCGA
Molecule: transfer RNA, 75 nt
Filed under: bacterium
Lineage: Bacteria
Also listed under: 2 other names
Description: tRNA-Pro
Rfam family: tRNA
About the family: Transfer RNA (tRNA) molecules are approximately 80 nucleotides in length. Their secondary structure includes four short double-helical elements and three loops (D, anti-codon, and T loops).
Source: RNAcentral